This 496-nucleotide ribosomal RNA is filed under the name uncultured bacterium. RNAcentral describes it as "partial 16S ribosomal RNA". It matches the Rfam family "Bacterial small subunit ribosomal RNA", at positions 28 to 506 of the family's 1533-position model. The record is from RNAcentral.
GAUGAACGCUGGCGGCGUGCCUAAUACAUGCAAGUCGAGCGAACAGACGAGGAGCUUGCUCCUCUGAUGUUAGCGGCGGACGGGUGAGUAACACGUGGAUAACCUACCUAUAAGACUGGGAUAACUUCGGGAAACCGGAGCUAAUACCGGAUAACAUGUUGAACCGCAUGGUUCAACAGUGAAAGACGGUCUUGCUGUCACUUAUAGAUGGAUCCGCGCCGCAUUAGCUAGUUGGUAAGGUAACGGCUUACCAAGGCAACGAUGCGUAGCCGACCUGAGAGGGUGAUCGGCCACCCUGGAACUGAGACACGGUCCAGACUCCUACGGGAGGCAGCAGUAGGGAAUCUUCCGCAAUGGGCGAAAGCCUGACGGAGCAACGCCGCGUGAGUGAAGAAGGUCUUCGGAUCGUAAAACUCUGUUAUUAGUGAAGAACAAAUGUGUAAGUAACUAUGCACGUCUUGACGGUACCUAAUCAGAAAGCCACGGCUAACUACGU